Non-coding RNA from Neoarius graeffei (lesser salmon catfish), 443 nucleotides. The record is from the annotation of a RefSeq genome assembly. NCBI's taxonomy places the organism in Eukaryota, Metazoa, Chordata, Actinopteri, Siluriformes, Ariidae.
CUGCUACAGCAACUUCACCCACAGCUACCAUGACUCUGAUCCCCGUCUUCAUCUGGACACUGAUCCUCUGGACUCAAGAAUGCAGAGGUCAAGCCACAGUCACUCAGACUCCUGCAGUGAAAUCUGCUCUUCCAGGAGAAACAGUCACCAUCAACUGUAGAACCAGUCAGGCAGUGUACACAGACUCAAAUGGCCACAACUUAUACUGGUAUCAGCAGAAACCUGGAGAAGCUCCUAAACUCCUGAUUAAAUUUGCAAAUCAGCGAGUGUCAGGUUUUCCAGCUCGUUUCAGUGGCAGUGGAUCUGGAUCUGAUUUCACUCUGACCAUCAGUGGAGUCCAGACUGAAGAUGCAGGAGAUUAUUAUUGUCAGAGCCGGCAUGAUAUCUCUGGCUACUGGUUCACACAGUGUUAUAGAGUCAGGAGAGGAACCACACCACACUAA